GCCAAUUAUCUCCAUGUUUAUUUAAAUAUUUAGCUCUAAAGGAAGCAAUCAUUCCUUUAUACUUCUUUAAAUUUAGUAUUGACAUUUUUAUUUUGGGAAAGGAGGUCUUUUUUUUUUUUUAACAUGGAUACAGGAAAAGAAAACUCUCCAAUAAAAAUAUUGUCUAAAAAGUUUGUUUUGUCUGCAUGAUUUACUAAAUAUGUACAAUUUCAAUUCACAGCGAAGGUAACAAAGAUUUAAACAGCCAACAUCACAAAUGUCUCAAGUUCUAAAAAAAAAUCACUGUGCACAGUUUAACAAUUUAAUUGAAUAAAAACCAAAGCUAAGCCUUCAGUCUGAAUCUUUUUUAUGAUGGGCACAAGCCAUGUAUUUUUUUCAUCUUUGUUACACGAUGUAUAUUUCUGUGACUAAACGCCCCUUCCCAUUUUAGUAUAUUAGGUUAUGUCAGUACAGACUUAAAAGAGACAUAAAUUGCCUCUUGGUACACCUAUAUGAUUCUUGAUGUGUUCACAUAUAUGUCAGGAUAUUUAUCAAUAUAUAAAAUGACCAGAUGAGUCACCUGUGAUUUUUUUUUAAUGUCUUCAAAUGUAGGAAUGUUUU
This 600-nucleotide long non-coding RNA is filed under the name Bos taurus (domestic cattle). Its description in RNAcentral is "long non-coding RNA NONBTAT011160". Lineage: Eukaryota; Metazoa; Chordata; Mammalia; Artiodactyla; Bovidae. The record is from RNAcentral.